UACGAAGGGGACUAGCGUUGUUCGGAAUUACUGGGCGUAAAGCGCGCGUAGGCGGAUCGCUAAGUCAGGGGUGAAAUCCCAGGGCUCAACCCUGGAACUGCCUUUGAUACUGACGAUCUGGAGAUCGGGAGAGGUUGGUGGAAUUCCGAGUGUAGAGGUGAAAUUCGUAGAUAUUCGGAGGAACACCAGAAGCGAAGGCGGCCAACUGGCCCGAUACUGACGCUGAUGCGCGAAAGCCAGGGGAGCGAACGGG
RNAcentral lists this ribosomal RNA (253 nucleotides) under uncultured bacterium. RNAcentral describes it as "partial 16S ribosomal RNA". It matches the Rfam family "Bacterial small subunit ribosomal RNA", at positions 524 to 776 of the family's 1533-position model. The record is from RNAcentral.